AUAAUUACACAGUCUCAAGUAGCUAAUCAUCCAAGAAGCCCUACUCGGCUCAGAACCAAACCCACACCAAAGUCAACCGCAACAAAGUCCGGGGCCAGAGCUCUUGGUCAAAUGCCAGACAAACAAAGGACGCCUCCAAUCAAUGCUAAUAGCAAUCGUCCUGCAAUAUCCUCAAAGUGCUUAGAAAACCGAAUACCAAGAACCACACAUACAUUCAAAGUGGCCG
This is a non-coding RNA of Drosophila melanogaster (fruit fly), 226 nucleotides long. The record is from Ensembl. NCBI's taxonomy places the organism in Eukaryota, Metazoa, Arthropoda, Insecta, Diptera, Drosophilidae.